AGAUUGAACGCUGGCGGCAUGCCUUACACAUGCAAGUCGAACGGCAGCACGGGGGCAACCCUGGUGGCGAGUGGCGAACGGGUGAGUAAUGCAUCGGAACGUGCCCAGUAGUGGGGGAUAACUAGUCGAAAGAUUAGCUAAUACCGCAUACGACCUAGUGGGUGAAAGGCGGGGGAUUCGCAAGAACCUCGCGCUAUCGGAGCGGCCGAUGUCUGUAUUAGCUAGGUUGGGACGGGGUAAAAACGCCCACCAAGGCUUCGAUCAGUGCGUGGUCUGGAGAGGACCGUCCAGCCACACGUGGGACUGAGACCACGGCCCAGACUCCGUACGGGAGCAGCGAGGUGGGGUAAUUUGGACAAGUCGGGC
RNAcentral lists this ribosomal RNA (366 nucleotides) under uncultured soil bacterium. RNAcentral's name for it is "bacterial SSU rRNA". It matches the Rfam family "Bacterial small subunit ribosomal RNA", at positions 26 to 378 of the family's 1533-position model. The record is from RNAcentral.